AGUAUUAAAGGUCCUGCCUGCCCAGUGAAAUUUUUAAACGGCCGCGGUAUUCUAACCGUGCAAAGGUAGCGUAAUCACUUGUCUUCUAAAUAAAGACCAGUAUGAAUGGCUAAAUGAGGACAAAACUGUCUCCUACAACCUAUCAGUGAAAUUGAUCUCCCAGUCCAAAAGCUGGGAUAUCAACAUAAGACGAGAAGACCCUGUGGAGCUUAAAAUCCAUGUAUUACCACAAACACAAUAUAACUAAUAAAUGAUUUUGAGUUGGGGCGACUUCGGAACAAAACAAAACUUCCGAGCACAGAACCACAAUUUCUAACUGAGGCACACAGGCCAAAGAAUAAAUUAGACCCAGUCACACUGAUCAACGAACCAAGUUACCCCAGGGAUAACAGCGCUAUCUUCUUCAAGAGUCCAUAUCGACAAGAAGGUUUACGACCUCGAUGUUGGAUCAGGGCACCCCAAUGGUGCAACCGCUAUUAAAGGUUCGUUUGUUCAACGAUUAACAGC
Molecule: ribosomal RNA, 507 nt
Filed under: Eremiascincus douglasi (orange-sided bar-lipped skink)
Lineage: Eukaryota; Metazoa; Chordata; Lepidosauria; Squamata; Scincidae
Description: partial 16S ribosomal RNA
Rfam family: Bacterial large subunit ribosomal RNA
Source: RNAcentral